RNAcentral lists this ribosomal RNA (253 nucleotides) under uncultured bacterium. Its description in RNAcentral is "partial 16S ribosomal RNA". It matches the Rfam family "Bacterial small subunit ribosomal RNA", at positions 524 to 776 of the family's 1533-position model. The record is from RNAcentral.
UACAGAGGUCUCAAGCGUUGUUCGGAUUCAUUGGGCGUAAAGGGUGCGUAGGCGGCGCUGUAAGUCGGGUGUGAAAUCUCGGAGCUUAACUCCGAAACUGCAUUCGAUACUGCCGUGCUUGAGGACUGGAGAGGAGACUGGAAUUUACGGUGUAGCGGUGAAAUGCGUAGAUAUCGUAAGGAAGACCAGUGGCGAAGGCGGGUCUCUGGACAGUUCCUGACGCUGAGGCACGAAGGUCAGGGGAGCAAACGGG